Molecule: long non-coding RNA, 525 nt
Organism: Microtus ochrogaster (prairie vole)
Lineage: Eukaryota; Metazoa; Chordata; Mammalia; Rodentia; Cricetidae
Exons: 3
Source: RefSeq, a predicted model, not a curated record
GCCGCGGUGUCGGCCUGAAGCGUGGAAUCGCUGGGAGCCGGAGGCUAGGCAACCGAGCGGCAGGGAGCCUGCGGAGUCCUGAGCGCGUGGGCGGCAAAGGAGGUGAAAGCUGCGUGACCCGGCGAGCAACGCGCGGUUGGGCGGAAAGAGCCGAGCGAGCUCGGAAGGAUCGUUGCUAGGGCCGAAGGUGGAAGCAGGAAGACUUACAUUUAGGAGAUAGCUUUCUACAGUAUGUCACAGUGACAGUGUUGCUCCUAAAUUGGAAGCUUUCCAUAAAGUACACACACCAGCCCCACCCACACCAUUGAGCUAGCAGCCAUGGAGCUACAGUCCAAAAGGCUAGACCAGGAACCCUGGGAGCCAGGAGGACACGGGAAGGGAGAGGCUGAAGAUGGAGAACCUGCCUCAGCUUAUCUGAUCCAGGCCACAGAGCUCAUCAGUCAAGUGCUGCGGAAAGAGAAGGCUGGCACCUAUGCUGCUACGCUCAGGACUACCAAGAAGGGUUGCACAUCCCUUUCCAGGGCA